Molecule: transfer RNA, 98 nt
Filed under: Methanobacteriota archaeon
Lineage: Archaea; Methanobacteriati; Methanobacteriota
Description: Euryarchaeota archaeon (hot springs metagenome) tRNA-Thr
Rfam family: tRNA
About the family: Transfer RNA (tRNA) molecules are approximately 80 nucleotides in length.
Source: RNAcentral
GCCACUGUAGCUCAGGGGCUGCGCCUCCAAACGCGCACCUAGAGAGCGGCGGUUUCGUAAACCGCAGGUCGGGGGUUCAAAACCCUCCAGUGGCUCCA